CAUGAAGCUGGAAUUGCUAGUAAUCAUAGGUCAGCAUACUAUGGUGAAUACGUUCCCGGGCCUUGUACACACCGCCCGUCACACCAUGAGAGUUGAGAAUACCCGAAGUCCAUGUCAAAGUGGCCGAAGGUAGGCUUGAUGAUUGGGGUGAAGUCGUAACAAGGUACC
Molecule: ribosomal RNA, 168 nt
Filed under: uncultured bacterium
Lineage: Bacteria
Description: partial 16S ribosomal RNA
Rfam family: Bacterial small subunit ribosomal RNA
Source: RNAcentral